AGAGUUUGAUCAUGGCUCAGGACGAACGCUGGCGGCGUGCUUAACACAUGCAAGUCGAACGAUGAAGCCCUUCGGGGUGGAUUAGUGGCGAACGGGUGAGUAACACGUGGGUAAUCUGCCCUGUACUUUGGGAUAAGCCCUGGAAACGGGGUCUAAUACCGAAUAUGACUGCGCAUCGCAUGGUGUGUGGUGGAAAGUUUCGGCGGUACAGGAUGAGCCCGCGGCCUAUCAGCUUGUUGGUGGGGUGAUGGCCUACCAAGGCGACGACGGGUAGCCGGCCUGAGAGGGCGACCGGCCACACUGGGACUGAGACACGGCCCAGACUCCUACGGGAGGCAGCAGUGGGGAAUAUUGCACAAUGGGCGAAAGCCUGAUGCAGCGACGCCGCGUGAGGGAUGACGGCCUUCGGGUUGUAAACCUCUUUCGACAGGGACGAAGGGCAACUGACGGUACCUGUAGAAGAAGCACCGGCUAACUACGUGCCAGCAGCCGCGGUAAUACGUAGGGUGCGAGCGUUGUCCGGAAUUAUUGGGCGUAAAGAGCUCGUAGGCGGUUUGUCGCGUCGGCUGUGAAAACUGGAGGCUUAACCUUCAGCUUGCAGUCGAUACGGGCAGACUUGAGUUCGGUAGGGGAGACUGGAAUUCCUGGUGUAGCGGUGAAAUGCGCAGAUAUCAGGAGGAACACCGGUGGCGAAGGCGGGUCUCUGGGCCGAUACUGACGCUGAGGAGCGAAAGCGUGGGGAGCGAACAGGAUUAGAUACCCUAGUAGUCC
This 771-nucleotide ribosomal RNA is filed under the name uncultured bacterium. RNAcentral describes it as "bacterial SSU rRNA". It matches the Rfam family "Bacterial small subunit ribosomal RNA", at positions 8 to 796 of the family's 1533-position model. The record is from RNAcentral.